ACGGAAGGCAGCAGUGGGGGAUAUUGCACAGUGGGCGAAAGCCUGAUGCAGCAACGCCGCGUGAGGGAAGACGGUUUUCGGAUUGUAAACCUCUGUCUUUGGUGAAGAAGAGAGUGACGGUAGCCGAGAUAGGAAGCCACGGCUAACUACGUGCCAGCAGCCGCGGUAAUACGUAGGUGGCGAGCGUUGUCCGGAUUUACUGGGUGUAAAGGGAGCGCAGGCGGGGCAGCAAGUUGGAUGUGAAAUACCGAGGCUUAACCUCGGAGCUGCAUCCAAAACUGCCGCUCUUGAGUGAAGUAGAGGUAGGCGGAAUUCCGAGUGUAGCGGUGAAAUGCGUAGAUAUUCGGAGGAACACCGGUGGCGAAGGCGGCCUACUGGGCUUUAACUGACGCUGAGGCUCGAAAGUGUGGGGAGCAAACAGGAUUAGAUACCCUGGUA
RNAcentral lists this ribosomal RNA (438 nucleotides) under uncultured Clostridium sp. RNAcentral's name for it is "partial 16S ribosomal RNA". It matches the Rfam family "Bacterial small subunit ribosomal RNA", at positions 341 to 792 of the family's 1533-position model. Lineage: Bacteria; Bacillati; Bacillota; Clostridia; Eubacteriales; Clostridiaceae. The record is from RNAcentral.